AACCCAUUGAACAACACCCACCACCCCCUUCCACCAUCUCCACGCCACAACUACCACCACUACCUUGGAGCGGAUCAAUACACAGCUAAGAUUGGUGAUUUGGGGUUGACAAAGAGGGCAAAAUUGAACAAAAAGGGGAAGUUGAUUGUACCUUAUUGGAGGGGCACACCAAUGUAUUUUUAGUCUGAAUUUGUGAUUUAUGGUGUGCAAGAAGCUCCGUCUGAUAUUUGGGCGGUUGGGUGUAUUGUGCUUGAAAUGUUAACUACGAACCCACCUUGGGGUCCGAAAGGAGAUAUGAAUAGUGAUGAGAUUAUUACUCGAAUUGAGGAGCUUAAUGAGUCUCCGAUGAUUGUAAGCACGUUGUCGAGAUUAUUACUCGUUAAUCACUGGUGAAAAUGAAGACGAUGAGGCGAUCAGUUUUUCAUUAUUUUCAGAUGGUUUAUGUUCUUGGUCAGAAGAAGAUGUUGAUGGUACCGAAAUCGACAUUAAUUCUUGUUAUUCUGUAGAAGAUGAAACGGGUGCCAAUGCCCCAUUGAAUGAAGUACACCAAUACCCUAUUCCUUUCACUGUUGUGUAAGAGAAUUUAUAUAAUGUUUUAUGAGAUUUGAAGUUACAUUCAUACCUAUGUUCCGUAGUCAUGUUUAAGAGAAUAUGUUAA
This 658-nucleotide long non-coding RNA is filed under the name Helianthus annuus (common sunflower). RNAcentral describes it as "hypothetical non coding rna". The record is from RNAcentral. Lineage: Eukaryota; Viridiplantae; Streptophyta; Magnoliopsida; Asterales; Asteraceae.